This 149-nucleotide non-coding RNA is filed under the name uncultured Angelakisella sp. RNAcentral's name for it is "glmS glucosamine-6-phosphate activated ribozyme". It matches the Rfam family "glmS glucosamine-6-phosphate activated ribozyme aptamer", at positions 10 to 159 of the family's 167-position model. Rfam says of the family: This entry contains a glucosamine-6-phosphate activated ribozyme that is found in the mRNA for GlmS. Lineage: Bacteria; Bacillati; Bacillota; Clostridia; Eubacteriales; Oscillospiraceae. The record is from RNAcentral.
UCAAAGCGCCAGUGCCGCCCUGAAAGCUCCUGUUUGGGCGGACGACGAGGUGGAGGGAGUAUCGAAUUUUCGGCGGAUGCCCUCCCGCUGCUGCCACAGCGCAGGUCGGUGCAAAAACACGGGUGACCGUGCAACAAAGAACCGGCUAU